UGACCUGCGGAAGGAUCAUUACAAGUGAGGCUACCGAACGUUGGAAACAGCGGUUAGGAGCUUACACCCACCCGUGUCUACAUACUAUUGUUGCUUUGGCGGGCCGUGGCCUCCACUGCGGGCUCUGCUCGUGUGUGCCCGCCAGAGAACCAAACUCUGAAUGUUAGUGAUGUCUGAGUACUAUCUAAUAGUUAAAACUUUCAACAACGGAUCUCUUGGUUCUGGCAUCGAUGAAGAACGCAGCGAAAUGCGAUAAGUAAUGUGAAUUGCAGAAUUCAGUGAAUCAUCGAAUCUUUGAACGCACAUUGCGCCCUGUGGUAUUCCGCAGGGCAUGCCUGUUCGAGCGUCAUUUAACCACUCACGCCUAGCGUGGUAUUGGGGCACGCGGUCUCCGCGGCCCUCAAAAUUAGUGGCGGCGCCGGUGGGCUCUAAGCGUAGUACAUACUCCCGCUAUAGAGUUCCCCCGGUGGCUCACCAGAACCCCCAAUUUUUACAGGUUGACCUCGGAUCAGGUAGGGAUACCCGCUGAACUUAAGCAUAUCAAUAAGCGGAGGAAAGAAACCAACAGGGAUUACCUCAGUAACGGCGAGUGAAGCGGUAACAGCUCAAAUUUGAAAGCUGCCAACAGGCCGCGUUGUAAUUUGUAGAAGCUGCUUUGGGUAUCGGCCCGGUCUAAGUUCCUU
RNAcentral lists this ribosomal RNA (683 nucleotides) under fungal sp. RNAcentral describes it as "eukaryotic LSU rRNA". The stretch from base 196 to 349 matches the Rfam family "5.8S ribosomal RNA". The record is from RNAcentral. Lineage: Eukaryota; Fungi.